Molecule: ribosomal RNA, 468 nt
Filed under: uncultured bacterium
Lineage: Bacteria
Description: partial 16S ribosomal RNA
Rfam family: Bacterial small subunit ribosomal RNA
Source: RNAcentral
GACGAACGCUGGCGGCGUGCUUAACACAUGCAAGUCGAACGGAAAGGCCCUGCUUUUGUGGGGUGCUCGAGUGGCGCACGGGUGAGUAACACGUGAGUAACCUGCCCUUGACUUUGGGAUAACUUCAGGAAACUGGGGCUAAUACCGGAUAGGAGCUCCUGCUGCAUGGUGGGGGUUGGAAAGUUUCGGCGGUUGGGGAUGGACUCGCGGCUUAUCAGCUUGUUGGUGGGGUAGUGGCUUACCAAGGCUUUGACGGGUAGCCGGCCUGAGAGGGUGACCGGCCACAAUGGGACUGAGAUACGGCCCAGACUCCUACGGGAGGCAGCAGUGGGGAAUAUUGCACAAUGGGCGGAAGCCUGAUGCAGCAACGCCGCGUGCGGGAUGACGGCCUUCGGGUUGUAAACCGCUUUCGCCUGUGACGAAGCGUGAGUGACGGUAAUGGGUAAAGAAGCACCGGCUAACUACGUG